UUUUUAGAGAGUUUGAUCCUGGCUCAGGAUGAACGCUGGCGGCGUGCCUAACACAUGCAAGUCGAACGGAACUAUUUUGGAAAGUUCUUCGGAACUGGAAUCUUUAGUUUAGUGGCGGACGGGUGAGUAACGCGUGAGCAAUCUGCCUUUAAGAG
RNAcentral lists this ribosomal RNA (155 nucleotides) under Butyricicoccus sp. AF24-19AC. RNAcentral describes it as "partial 16S ribosomal RNA". It matches the Rfam family "Bacterial small subunit ribosomal RNA", at positions 1 to 138 of the family's 1533-position model. Lineage: Bacteria; Bacillati; Bacillota; Clostridia; Eubacteriales; Butyricicoccaceae. The record is from RNAcentral.